This 604-nucleotide ribosomal RNA is filed under the name uncultured bacterium. Its description in RNAcentral is "bacterial SSU rRNA". It matches the Rfam family "Bacterial small subunit ribosomal RNA", at positions 67 to 649 of the family's 1533-position model. The record is from RNAcentral.
CGGUAAGGCCCCUUCGGGGGUACACGAGCAGCGAACGGGUGAGUAACGCGUGGGUAAUCUACCUAGAGGUGGGGGAUAGCCUCGGGAAACCGGGGGUAAUACCGCAUGAGUCCUUUCCAACAUAAGUUGGAUUGGGGAAAGGCGGGGAUCUUAGGACCUGUCGCCUCUAGAUGAGCCCGCGUCCGAUUAGCUUGUUGGUGGGGUAAUGGCCUACCAAGGCAUCGAUCGGUAGCCGGCCUGAGAGGGUGAACGGCCACAUUGGGACUGAGACACGGCCCAGACUCCUACGGGAGGCAGCAGUGGGGAAUUUUGGGCAAUGGGGGAAACCCUGACCCAGCGACGCCGCGUGGAGGAUGAAGGCCUUCGGGUUGUAAACUCCUGUCAGGUGGGAAGAAGAGCUUUGUGGCUAAUAUCCACAAGGAAUUGACGGUACCACCAAAGGAAGCCCCGGCUAACUCCGUGCCAGCAGCCGCGGUAAUACGGGGGGGGCAAGCGUUAUUCGGAUUUACUGGGCGUAAAGCGCACGUAGGUGGCGAUGUAAGUCACAGGUGAAAGCCCUCGGCUCAACCGAGGAACUGCCUGCGAAACUGCAUUGCUUGAGUCC